AGAAUCAACGCUGGCGGCGUGCCUAACACAUGCAAGUCGAACGAGAAAGUGGAGCAAUCCAUGAGUAAAGUGGCGCACGGGUGAGUAACACGUGACUAACCUACCCUUGAGUGGGGAAUAACUGAGGGAAACCUUGGCUAAUACCGCAUGAUACCUACGGGUCAAAGGAGCAAUUCGCUUAAGGAGGGGGUCGCGGCAGAUUAGCUAGUUGGCGGGUAAUGGCCCACCAAGGCAGUGAUCGGUA
Molecule: ribosomal RNA, 244 nt
Filed under: uncultured bacterium
Lineage: Bacteria
Description: partial small subunit ribosomal RNA
Rfam family: Bacterial small subunit ribosomal RNA
Source: RNAcentral